RNAcentral lists this ribosomal RNA (790 nucleotides) under Amycolatopsis sp. RNAcentral's name for it is "bacterial SSU rRNA". It matches the Rfam family "Bacterial small subunit ribosomal RNA", at positions 57 to 863 of the family's 1533-position model. Lineage: Bacteria; Bacillati; Actinomycetota; Actinomycetes; Pseudonocardiales; Pseudonocardiaceae. The record is from RNAcentral.
GCAGUCGACGCUGAAGCACCUUCGGGUGUGGAUGAGUGGCGAACGGGUGAGUAACACGUGGGUAACCUGCCCUGUACUUUGGGAUAAGCCCUGGAAACGGGGUCUAAUACCGAAUAUGACUCGCUAAGGCAUCUUGGUGGGUGGAAAGUUUCGGCGGUACAGGAUGGGCCCGCGGCCUAUCAGCUUGUUGGUGGGGUAGUGGCCUACCAAGGCGACGACGGGUAGCCGGCCUGAGAGGGUGACCGGCCACACUGGGACUGAGACACGGCCCAGACUCCUACGGGAGGCAGCAGUGGGGAAUAUUGCACAAUGGGCGGAAGCCUGAUGCAGCGACGCCGCGUGAGGGAUGACGGCCUUCGGGUUGUAAACCUCUUUCGCCAGGGACGAAGCGUAAGUGACGGUACCUGGAGAAGAAGCACCGGCUAACUACGUGCCAGCAGCCGCGGUAAUACGUAGGGUGCAAGCGUUGUCCGGAAUUAUUGGGCGUAAAGAGCUCGUAGGCGGCUUGUCGCGUCUGCUGUGAAAAUCCGGGGCUUAACUCCGGACCUGCAGUGGAUACGGGCAGGCUUGAGUUCGGUAGGGGAGACUGGAAUUCCUGGUGUAGCGGUGAAAUGCGCAGAUAUCAGGAGGAACACCGGUGGCGAAGGCGGGUCUCUGGGCCGAUACUGACGCUGAGGAGCGAAAGCGUGGGGAGCGAACAGGAUUAGAUACCCUGGUAGUCCACGCUGUAAACGUUGGGCGCUAGGUGUGGGCGACUUCCACGUUGUCCGUGCCGUAGCUAACGCAUUAA